Molecule: long non-coding RNA, 375 nt
Organism: Gasterosteus aculeatus aculeatus (three-spined stickleback)
Lineage: Eukaryota; Metazoa; Chordata; Actinopteri; Perciformes; Gasterosteidae
Source: Ensembl
ACGCCAUCAGGACACCUCGUCAACCCCUCAGGAGCAAAUCCAGAUCUACUCAUGACACACACACACACACACACACACACACACACACACACAGAUGUACUCACAGACACACUAACAUUUGACACACACUAAUAUUUAGAUGUACACAAAGACACACACUAAUAUUUAGAUGUACACAAAGACACACUAACAAUUAGAUGUACACACAGACACACUAACAACAUUAAUAUGUAAAUAACUUUUCUUCUUUUCUCUCUUCUCAGGAACUGCUUCAGAUGUUUUCCCAAUGAUUGUGUUAUUAUAAUUGUUAAAUAUGUCGUCUGUUUAUUAUUUUAACAAUGAAAAUAAAUUUUAAUAAAAAUAAAACCAAAUGAA